RNAcentral lists this ribosomal RNA (1273 nucleotides) under Staphylococcus epidermidis. RNAcentral's name for it is "bacterial SSU rRNA". It matches the Rfam family "Bacterial small subunit ribosomal RNA", at positions 1 to 1255 of the family's 1533-position model. The record is from RNAcentral. Lineage: Bacteria; Bacillati; Bacillota; Bacilli; Caryophanales; Staphylococcaceae.
UUUAUGGAGAGUUUGAUCCUGGCUCAGGAUGAACGCUGGCGGCGUGCCUAAUACAUGCAAGUCGAGCGAACAGACGAGGAGCUUGCUCCUCUGACGUUAGCGGCGGACGGGUGAGUAACACGUGGAUAACCUACCUAUAAGACUGGGAUAACUUCGGGAAACCGGAGCUAAUACCGGAUAAUAUAUUGAACCGCAUGGUUCAAUAGUGAAAGACGGUUUUGCUGUCACUUAUAGAUGGAUCCGCGCCGCAUUAGCUAGUUGGUAAGGUAACGGCUUACCAAGGCAACGAUGCGUAGCCGACCUGAGAGGGUGAUCGGCCACACUGGAACUGAGACACGGUCCAGACUCCUACGGGAGGCAGCAGUAGGGAAUCUUCCGCAAUGGGCGAAAGCCUGACGGAGCAACGCCGCGUGAGUGAUGAAGGUCUUCGGAUCGUAAAACUCUGUUAUUAGGGAAGAACAAAUGUGUAAGUAACUAUGCACGUCUUGACGGUACCUAAUCAGAAAGCCACGGCUAACUACGUGCCAGCAGCCGCGGUAAUACGUAGGUGGCAAGCGUUAUCCGGAAUUAUUGGGCGUAAAGCGCGCGUAGGCGGUUUUUUAAGUCUGAUGUGAAAGCCCACGGCUCAACCGUGGAGGGUCAUUGGAAACUGGAAAACUUGAGUGCAGAAGAGGAAAGUGGAAUUCCAUGUGUAGCGGUGAAAUGCGCAGAGAUAUGGAGGAACACCAGUGGCGAAGGCGACUUUCUGGUCUGUAACUGACGCUGAUGUGCGAAAGCGUGGGGAUCAAACAGGAUUAGAUACCCUGGUAGUCCACGCCGUAAACGAUGAGUGCUAAGUGUUAGGGGGUUUCCGCCCCUUAGUGCUGCAGCUAACGCAUUAAGCACUCCGCCUGGGGAGUACGACCGCAAGGUUGAAACUCAAAGGAAUUGACGGGGACCCGCACAAGCGGUGGAGCAUGUGGUUUAAUUCGAAGCAACGCGAAGAACCUUACCAAAUCUUGACAUCCUCUGACCCCUCUAGAGAUAGAGUUUUCCCCUUCGGGGGACAGAGUGACAGGUGGUGCAUGGUUGUCGUCAGCUCGUGUCGUGAGAUGUUGGGUUAAGUCCCGCAACGAGCGCAACCCUUAAGCUUAGUUGCCAUCAUUAAGUUGGGCACUCUAAGUUGACUGCCGGUGACAAACCGGAGGAAGGUGGGGAUGACGUCAAAUCAUCAUGCCCCUUAUGAUUUGGGCUACACACGUGCUACAAUGGACAAUACAAAGGGCAGCGAAAC